This 103-nucleotide microRNA precursor is filed under the name Marmota monax (woodchuck). Lineage: Eukaryota; Metazoa; Chordata; Mammalia; Rodentia; Sciuridae. The record is from RNAcentral.
AAUGGGAUAGCUGGGUCAAAUGGUGAUUCCAUUCCAAGUUUUCUGAGGAAUCUCCAUACUGUUUUCCAUAGUGAUUGCACCAAUCUGCAGUCCCACCAGCAAC